ACUAAAAUCUUGCAAAAAUUGCAAGAGAUUGUUGAAAAUUAGCAAGAAAUCCUGGCCAUGCAGAGAAAGUUACUGGCUGCUACAGCUGUGACGGUGUCAGACGAAGGGGGGACUUGCUGGAUAAUGGGCCAUGUCAGACUGUGGAAGAACUCCAGCAGCUGGACACUGAACUGGCCUACAAGGACAAAAGAACCAAAAUGGGGCAACACAAAAACAUUUUAAGGAGCUGAGGGCAACUGAUGUGGAGGACCUAAUAUCUCUCGUUUUGAAAUAAGCUCCACACAGACACUUCAAAUGAUGAUGCUGAAGUGAAGAUGGACUUGAAUUCCUUUAGUUAUAGCCGGUUUUUAUAUUCCUCAUUUUAUAUUUAAGAAAUUGUUACUAUAAAUAGUUAUAUUUAUA
Long non-coding RNA from Triplophysa rosa, 402 nucleotides. RefSeq lists it as uncharacterized. Lineage: Eukaryota; Metazoa; Chordata; Actinopteri; Cypriniformes; Nemacheilidae. The transcript is spliced from 3 exons. The record is from RefSeq and is a predicted model, not a curated record.